This 331-nucleotide ribosomal RNA is filed under the name Rhionaeschna multicolor. Its description in RNAcentral is "partial 12S ribosomal RNA". Lineage: Eukaryota; Metazoa; Arthropoda; Insecta; Odonata; Aeshnidae. The record is from RNAcentral.
GUAUUAGUUAUGUUCUUGAAACUCAAAGGAUUUGGCGGUAUUUUAGUCCUUUCAGAGGAAUCUGUUCCGUUAUCGACAACCCACGAAUAGAAGUACUUGAUUUUGUUUUACAGUUUGUAUACCUCCGUCAUAAGAAUAUCUUUUUAGAGGGAAUUUUCUUUAUAUAAUAAAUAUAAUAUGUCAGGUCAAGGUGCAAUUAAUAGUCAAGUGGAAAUGGAUUACAAUAAAUUUAUUUAUAUGGAUUAAAUUGUUUAAUUAUUUAUGAAGGUGGAUUUGAUAGUAAUGUUAUUAUCUUAUUAAUUUGAUUUAGGCUCUAAAAUAUGCACACAUC